RNAcentral lists this ribosomal RNA (489 nucleotides) under Triticum aestivum (bread wheat). RNAcentral describes it as "partial small subunit ribosomal RNA". Lineage: Eukaryota; Viridiplantae; Streptophyta; Magnoliopsida; Poales; Poaceae. The record is from RNAcentral.
AUGAAUUAUGCUUAUGGAGAUGAACUUGCUAUAGUUCCUUAUGUUAAACAUGAAAUUUUUGCUAUUGCACACACGCAUGAUAGUCCUAUUAUCUUUUUGAAUUCUCCCGAUUAUACUAUAUCAGAGAAGUUUGCACUUAUUAAGGAUUAUAUUGAUGGGUUGCCUUUUACCGUUGCCCAUGAUGAUUUCAAUAAAUAUAAUAUGCAUGUGCUUGCUGCUCCUACUUGCAAUUAUUAUAAGAUAGGAACUAUAUCUCCACCUCUCUAUGUUUCUAAUAUGAUAAAAUUGCAAGAAACUGUUUAUAUUAUGCAUUGGCCUUUACUAGGUGUGCAUGAAUUGUUCUUUUAUGACAUGCCGAUGCAUAGGAAGAGAGUUACACUUCGUCAUUGCUUGAUAUUUGUUGCUUUGUGCUCACUACUAAAUUACAAAUCAUUGUUAAUUAAAAUUGGCUUUGAUAUACCUUGGGAUCCGGGUGGAUUCACUACUUGA